Molecule: ribosomal RNA, 253 nt
Filed under: uncultured bacterium
Lineage: Bacteria
Description: partial 16S ribosomal RNA
Rfam family: Bacterial small subunit ribosomal RNA
Source: RNAcentral
UACGUAGGGUGCAAGCGUUGUCCGGAAUUAUUGGGCGUAAAGAGCUCGUAGGCGGUUUGUCGCGUCGAAUGUGAAAACCCGGGGCUCAACUCCGGGCCUGCAUUCGAUACGGGCAGACUAGAGUUCGGUAGGGGAGACUGGAAUUCCUGGUGUAGCGGUAAAAUGCGCAGAUAUCAGGAGGAACACCGGUGGCGAAGGCGGGUCUCUGGGCCGAUACUGACGCUGAGGAGCGAAAGCGUGGGGAGCGAACAGG